RNAcentral lists this ribosomal RNA (422 nucleotides) under uncultured bacterium. RNAcentral describes it as "partial 16S ribosomal RNA". It matches the Rfam family "Bacterial small subunit ribosomal RNA", at positions 360 to 774 of the family's 1533-position model. The record is from RNAcentral.
AAUUUUGGACAAUGGGGGCAACCCUGAUCCAGCCAUCCCGCGUGUGCGAUGAAGGCCUUCGGGUUGUAAAGCACUUUUGGCAGGGAAGAAAAGGCGCGGGCUAAUACCCGGCGCCGCGGACGGUACCUGCAGAAGAAGCACCGUCUUACUACGUGCCAGCAGCCUCGGUAAUACGUAGGGUGCAAGAGUUAAACGGAAUUACUGGGCGUAAAGCGUUCGCAGGCGGUUCGGCAAGAAGGAUGUGAAAUCCCGGGGCUUAACCUCGGAACCGCAUUCUUAACUGCCGGGCUAGAGUAUGUCAGAGGGGGGUAGAAUUCCACGUGUAGCAGUGAAAUGCGUAGAGAUGUGGAGGAAUACCGAUGGCGAAGGCAGCCCCCUGGGAUGAUACUGACGCUCAUGCACGAAAGCGUGGGGAGCAAACA